Molecule: ribosomal RNA, 243 nt
Filed under: uncultured bacterium
Lineage: Bacteria
Description: partial 16S ribosomal RNA
Rfam family: Bacterial small subunit ribosomal RNA
Source: RNAcentral
GCAAGUGUUGUUCGGAAUUACUGGGCGUAAAGGGCGCGCAGGCGGCUCAUUUUGUCAGGCGUGAAAGCCCCGGGCUUAACCUGGGAGGUGCGUUUGAUACGGAUGGGCUAGAGUUCGGGAGAGGAGAGUGGAAUUCCCAGUGUAGAGGUGAAAUUCGUAGAUAUUGGGAAGAACACCGGUGGCGAAGGCGGCUCUCUGGACCGAGACUGACGCUGAGGCGCGAAAGCGUGGGGAGCAAACAGG